UGGUAGUAUGCAUUUUUAGUGAAAUAAAAUAGUAACUGUGAUUUUGAUUUAUGUUUUUUGUGAGAAUUAGUGAUUGUGAGAAACUUUUCAUUUGUGUCAAUUUCAUGUCUUCUUUUCAGACAGGGUCUAUUCAGGUCCUUUAGGAUUGGGUAUUUGAGGUUGCAGGGGUUUUUCAUUUUGUUGUUGAUACUGUUUAUUUCACCUUAGUCGUGUCGGUUUGUUGUACGUGUUAGAUGAGAAUCUGUUUCAGAGAUAGAAUUUUCUUCCAAAAUUCUCUCUCAGUUUUUGGGGUGCCUUGACUCUUGGUUCAUUGUUUCCUUUGCUCUGUAGAAAUCCUAAAGUUUUACUUAGUCCCACAUAUUUAUAUUUGCACACUUUAGUGGUAAUUUUUUAUGCACCUAUUUCCAAUCCCUUAUCAUCCCCCGCUCUUCCCCCAAGCUCUAGUAACCGCUGUUGCACUGUCUAGGUCUUUGAGAUCAAGUUUUUUUUUUUUUUUAGAUUCUGUAUGAGUGAGAUAAUACAAGGUUUGUCUUUCUUUGCCUGGCUCAUUUCAUUUACCGUCACAUCCUCCAGGUACAACCACAGGGCUCCCCAUGAGGUGAUAUCAUUGAAUUUUCCUGGCUGAAGAGUCAUCCAUCGUGUACACACAUGGGAGUUUAUUUUUUCAUCUGCAUAUGGAAGAUUCUGGUCUUUCUUAUGGAGAACCUGAGUUCCUGCAUUAAAGUUCCCCCAGAAGAUCAACGGAAGGUGGAUUCCAAAGAGUGGGCAAGUGAGGACCCCUUCUCUGUUACCAAGGUGACCCCAAGGAACACAAUAAAUGGCUCUUCUGCAUUGACUUGCGUAGCUGGUUAGUACCAGCUUAGAGGAAAAGGAGGAGUCACUUCCUGAGUACGCUGGAGGCUGGAAGCUUAGAGGAAAAGGAGGAGGAGCCACUUCGUUAGCACACUGCAGGCUGGAGCCUGCCAUGGCUCGCCUCACUGCUGCGGUUGGUGCCGGCCAGGGAGACUACAGUGCAGCCAGAAUGGCUUUCCUGGCUUUGCCUGCCCAGUUGCUUCGUGCCAAGAGGAGGAGCUGCCUGCUGGAGGCUGGAGCUUGUGGCACCACAGCUCACCUCGCUGUGGUUGGUGGCGGCCAUGGAGACUAAAGAGUCAGAGCGCUGGAGCCGUAGGAGGGCGGCAAUGAAGACUGAAGAGCGCCAGAGCGGUAGGAGGGCGGCUGGCUGCCGCCAGGGCACAGGCAGUGCAGUGGUCAGGUGUUAGGAGCCUUGUAGGGUGGGCCCGUGCAUUGAGGGUGACAGCAGUAGUAUUAGCAUCGGUGCUAGUGGUGGCAGCAGCAGCAGCAAGUCUGGGGGCCAGGAAAGCAGGUAGAAGCAUUGCAGGGCAGCCCUGCCUGGCCUGGGGUGGGUAGGAAGCUGUGGGCCUCUGUGACGAUGGUGGAGGUGCAGCCAGGGAAGGAGGAGUCUUCCCCACAUCUCCUGCAGAAUCUGGAGGGCGUCCUCCUCCUGCUGGCACCUGAGCCAGGCGUGAGUGGCACCAUUAUGUCA
Molecule: long non-coding RNA, 1543 nt
Organism: Nomascus leucogenys (northern white-cheeked gibbon)
Lineage: Eukaryota; Metazoa; Chordata; Mammalia; Primates; Hylobatidae
Source: RefSeq, a predicted model, not a curated record